Molecule: transfer RNA, 64 nt
Filed under: Achalinus spinalis (Peters' odd-scaled snake)
Lineage: Eukaryota; Metazoa; Chordata; Lepidosauria; Squamata; Xenodermidae
Description: tRNA-Thr
Rfam family: tRNA
About the family: Transfer RNA (tRNA) molecules are approximately 80 nucleotides in length. Their secondary structure includes four short double-helical elements and three loops (D, anti-codon, and T loops). Further hydrogen bonds mediate the characteristic L-shaped molecular structure. tRNAs have two regions of fundamental functional importance: the anti-codon, which is responsible for specific mRNA codon recognition, and the 3' end, to which the tRNAs corresponding amino acid is attached (by aminoacyl-tRNA synthetases). tRNAs cope with the degeneracy of the genetic code in two manners: having more than one tRNA (with a specific anti-codon) for a particular amino acid; and 'wobble' base-pairing, i.e. permitting non-standard base-pairing at the 3rd anti-codon position.
Source: RNAcentral
GCUCUAAUAGCUUAAUAAUAAAGCAUUGUUCUUGUAAACCAAAGCUGGGCCCACCCUUAGAGCA